GGAGUUAGCCGGUGCUUCUUCUGUGAGUGAUGUCCUUCCUGCCGGCUAUUAACCCGCAGGCCUUCUUCCUCACUGAAAGUGCUUUACAACCCGAAGGCCUUCUUCACACACGCGGCAUGGCUGGAUCAGGGUUGCCACCAUUGUCCCAAUAUUCCCCACUGCUGCCUCCCGUAGGAGUCUGGGCCGUGUCUCAGUCCCAGUGUGGCUGAUCAUCCUCUCAGACCAGCUACGGAUCGUCGCCUUGGUGAGCCGUUACCUCACCAACCAGCUAAUCCGACAUAGGCUCAUCCGAUAGCGCGAGGCCCGAAGGUCCCCCGCUUUCCCCCGUAGGGCGUAUGCGGUAUUAGCCUGGGUUUCCCCAGGUUAUCCCCCACUACCGGGCAGAUUCCUAUGCAUUACUCACCCGUCCGCCGCUCGCCACCAGGGAGCAAGCUCCCCGUGCUGCCGCUCGACUUGCAUGUGUUAGGCCUGCCGCCAGCGUUCAAUCUGAGCCAUGAUCAAACUCUGA
Molecule: ribosomal RNA, 508 nt
Filed under: uncultured bacterium
Lineage: Bacteria
Description: partial 16S ribosomal RNA
Source: RNAcentral